AUGGACGACCCGCAAGUGAUCCUCGGCCUCUCCAGGAGCGAAGUGUGCGCCAGAAUGGUGCACAACGGCAUGGAUAGCGAUAUGAUGGAGUACGGCUAUAACCUGAUGCUCUACUGCGUGUACGCCUACAUCCCGGACCCGCCCGUCACCCCCGCGGCCACCCUCUCGCUACCCGGUGCGCCAUCAGUCCCCGACGGCGUCGACCGCAUCAGUCGCCUCCCUGACAAGCCAUCUGCUCCCGGACGGCGGCGCGUCCGAGCCGUUCAUCAUCAGCGCCCCCUCUCCCCGCGCCGUCACCGCCGCGGUCUCCAGCGCCCUCGCGGCGCACCUAGGGCCUUUCCGCUGCGUCCACCUCACCUGCAGCACCAUGGACGAGCACCGAGGCGAGAUGACGCGCUGGCUCGACAUCCUCGUCGCCAAGGGGACCUGCGCCUCCCCGCCACACUCUUCAGCUGCGCCUCCCUCACCCGCCUCUAUCUUGGCAUCUUUAGGCUCCCAGACACCGCCGCCGUGCCACGCGGCGCCAGAUUCCCCAACCUCCGGGAGCUAAUCCUCUGCUUGAAUACCAUGGAAGAGCGUGAUCUUGCCUUCUUUCUUGAAAGAAGCCCCGUCCUGGAGUUGCUCUUCAUCAUGGGAAACCGGGCCGGUAGAGUGUGCCUCCGCCUUGUUAGCCACAGCAUGCGGUGCGUUCAGCUUGGCUUUUACUUCUUGGAGGACAUCGAUGUGGUGGAUGCUCCUCGCCUGGAGAGGCUCUUUCAGUUUGACGAGCUUGCCCAUUCCCACAGGAUGGACAAUACCACUCACCCUAGGAUCAAGAACAGCGCUUCUAGGAUCAAGAUUGGCCGUGCACCUAACCAGGAUAUCUUGAGCCAGGAGUGCAAGAUUUGGGGAUUAGGAACACUAUUGUUGUGGUAA
Molecule: ribosomal RNA, 915 nt
Filed under: Triticum aestivum (bread wheat)
Lineage: Eukaryota; Viridiplantae; Streptophyta; Magnoliopsida; Poales; Poaceae
Description: partial small subunit ribosomal RNA
Source: RNAcentral